RNAcentral lists this ribosomal RNA (301 nucleotides) under uncultured bacterium. RNAcentral describes it as "partial 16S ribosomal RNA". It matches the Rfam family "Bacterial small subunit ribosomal RNA", at positions 509 to 807 of the family's 1533-position model. The record is from RNAcentral.
CAGUAGCCGCGGUAAUACGGAGGGCGCGAGCGUUACCCGGAUUUACUGGGCGUAAAGCGCGCGUAGGUGGUUUGUUAAGUUGGAUGUGAAAUCCCCGGGCUCAACCUGGGAACUGCAUUCAAAACUGACUGACUAGAGUAUGGUAGAGGGUGGUGGAAUUUCCUGUGUAGCGGUGAAAUGCGUAGAUAUAGGAAGGAACACCAGUGGCGAAGGCGACCACCUGGACUAAUACUGACACUGAGGUGCGAAAGCGUGGGGAGCAAACAGGAUUAGAUACCCGGGUAGUCCCUGUCUCUUAUAC